UUAAUUUCUCUCCAUCUCCGUCUCCGUCUCCGACUCGCUUACUCCAAGGGGAGGUGGGAAAUUGGGCACUAGAGGGGUGAAUGGAGCCGCGACUCUAGCUUGCUCUCCUAGCGAGGGCGCUUGCUCGGUUCGGCUUCAGCAGUGCGCAGAUUAUGGCCAUGAUUAUUACUACAAGCAUAGCAUGCAUCAUUUCUCAUUAGAUGAGAUUAACUGAAGACAGUUAAUGCUAUGAGCCAUGCACCAUUUAACGGCAAGCUGAUGGGAUUGGAUUUUGGCAUGGAUCUAGAGUUAGUUGGAGUUGUUCAAGAAGGAGAGCAACGAAACUAGGUUGAAGUUUGAGUCUGACGUUCAACAGAAACUAAACCAGCAAGAUUUGAAGAUUGGCGACCUGGAAAGUGAUGUUGAACUUCUCAAAGGAAAGGUUAACGAGGAAAUUGAGCUUUAUAGGAAGAAUCAGGAAACAAGCUUAGAAAAGAUAACGGGUUCUAUUGAUGACCUACAGUUCAGCUUUGCCAAGGGCGCUGUUGCAAUUGUUGGUCUUAUUCCGCUGUUUGCUCACUCGUGGUCAAUGUCAAUAGGCUCUUCCGUGGUGAAUCUGUUAUGCUUCAAACUAUCAUCUUAUCUUUGGGAAAUGUUGACAUAGCUACAUGAAUCGUAGCUUCAUACGUUCCUCAUUGUUAAUUUCAGUCAAGAUGGUCCUGCAAAUGGAGCUAAUGUGAAGGAUAGAAAACGAAAGACUGUAAAGAAAAAUGGACAUCCCUCGUGACCCCACUCUUCCCAUUCUGCAAACUCUUCAAUUGAGAUCCUCCAAACAUCUCCUCUUAUAUACUUGUGAAAUACAGAGUAUGUGCCCGUCAGAAUUUUGCAAAAUUUGUUGGUAACUGAUAUGUCAUCAGAGGAUAAUGAAUUACAAGUUGUGGACCAAUUGGUUUUCAUGGUUUUA
Setaria italica (foxtail millet) is the source of this 943-nucleotide long non-coding RNA. RefSeq lists it as uncharacterized. The record is from RefSeq and is a predicted model, not a curated record. The transcript has 6 exons. NCBI's taxonomy places the organism in Eukaryota, Viridiplantae, Streptophyta, Magnoliopsida, Poales, Poaceae.